This 253-nucleotide ribosomal RNA is filed under the name uncultured bacterium. RNAcentral's name for it is "partial 16S ribosomal RNA". It matches the Rfam family "Bacterial small subunit ribosomal RNA", at positions 524 to 776 of the family's 1533-position model. The record is from RNAcentral.
UACGGAGGAUCCAAGCGUUAUCCGGAUUCACUGGGUUUAAAGGGUGCGUAGGCGGGUUGGUAAGUCAGUGGUGAAAUCUUCAAGCUUAACUUGGAAACUGCCGUUGAUACUAUCAAUCUUGAAUAUUGUGGAGGUAAGCGGAAUAUGUCAUGUAGCGGUGAAAUGCUUAGAUAUGACAUAGAACACCGAUAGCGAAGGCAGCUUGCUACACAGUUAUUGACGCUGAGGCACGAAAGCGUGGGGAUCAAACAGG